Molecule: non-coding RNA, 3024 nt
Organism: Xyrichtys novacula (pearly razorfish)
Lineage: Eukaryota; Metazoa; Chordata; Actinopteri; Labriformes; Labridae
Source: the annotation of a GenBank genome assembly
CUGCAAAAACAUGCUAUUUACAUAUUAGACAGGAAUGCAGAGGCUUGCCCCUGAAAAAAUCAAAUGUCAAACGCAAAUUGGCUGGUCAUUUCUCCAAAAGACAACCAUGAAGCGCUAUCUAAACCUGAAGCAUGCAGUUGCUGCAUGUGUACAGUAACCUGAGGGGAGUGAGGUGAGUGCUUCUGAGGAGAACAUGAGCAGUGAAGAUUCACCUUAGAGCCAGAACAGGGACGUGCACAUGAUUAUAGAGGGGCAGGGGCUCAAGUCUUUUCCAGUCCUUUAUACAAAAUGGAAAUUAAUGUGAAAUUAAAAAACAAAGUAUUAAUAGAAAGGUAAUGACUGUCCUGUGUAGAUGACAGUGAUAUCCAAUAGGCUAGGCACUCACGAGGCUGGCUGUGGCAAGUGUAAGUGAAAGCAACACGCACUGGCAGGAAGAACAGCAAACGCCGAUGAAGGAAAAGGGUCUUUGCAGUGAUAGGCGUUACCAGAGAGGGCGAUGGCCAGAGGACGCGAAUGGGACGGGGAGGCAGCGCGUUGGGGGGGGGGGGGGGCGUGACACGGCUCGGGCCCGCCAGUGCCCCAACGGGGCCCUAGUUUUUGUUUUGUUUUCCCGUGAUGCGCCUCAGGGGGGUAUUCCAGAAAGCGGGUUAUGUGAAAAACUCUGAGUAAGUUAACCCUGAGAUGAGGGAAACUCUGAGUUAUCCGUUCCAGAAAGAGAGGUAACUUAAACACUGGGUCAGUUACUGCGGUAACUUACUCUGUGAACAUAACCUGCUCGCUGACAGGUUUACUAUAAGAGACCCAGAGUUUCUACAUGUCUCCUCCCACACAAAGAAAGCGGUUGAACAUGGAUUGUCCAUUCCUUGAAAAUCCGAUCGACAUCGAAGCCAGAAUAAUGAGCAACGGUUUACGUCGCGAGAGAAUCUUCCGACCCAGAUUAGACGUUUUAUCAUUUCCAGAAGAAUUUAUUUUCGAACGCUACCGCUUUUCUUUGAACAGUAUAAUUUAUCUAAAUAACCUUCUCCGGCCGUGUAUUCAGUGUACAUGUCAAACUCCAAAUUCCACUUUAGAAUGUAAAUGAAUGGGCACUGCCAGUAGCUAUAUAUUAAGACACACUUCAGGAUGCCCCUCUGGAUCUCUCCCUGUGGCAGCAGACAGUGUUUCUUCAUCCUCCUCCUCCUCCUCCCCCUCCUGUAAUGCAGGAAAAUAUACUGUUUCAGAAUACUUUGAACUACCAUCUGAGGAAUCUGAGUAUGGAAGACUUACAGCUACAGGGUUUGUUUCUGUCGGAGGCUGAAGCAGGCAGAUGACACCAUCCACAACUGUUGGGUGGGUGGAUAUAUAUUUGUUAAAAAGUAGGCUAUAUAUAUUUAUAUAUUAGUUUGAUUUUUUUUAAAGACAUAAGUGUAUACUUGCAUCUGAUGUAGGGACUUGUGUCCUGGGGGGUGACAGGCUCGGAUGAGCUUCCCCCGGGGAUGCCUUCAGCCACAGGGCGACCCCUGUUUUGGCUGAGGGCCAGCUCCUCAGCCUCCGUCAGAUAUAGUGGAGGUGGCCCUCCACCCGUUUUUCGGGCCUCUGCCUUCUUUCUGUUGGCUGAGCAGAAGUCAAUGUUUAUUUUAAAAUAGUAUUUUAAUCAGUGUUGGUGUAGGCUACAGCGUCACAUUUUAAAUGACUUCAAUAGGUCUAAAAUAUAAAUGUGUUUGUAUCAAGUGUUAAUCCACGAAGUGUAGAAUUAAGUGAGAGGACGUUGAAAAACUACAUUUUGUUUGGGGUUUAAAUUAUUAUUUGAAGUAGCCGCUGAAUUAAUAUUUUAGUUUAAAUUAAUAUUGACUUUGUCUAAUAGCCUAAGUCCAUUUUUUGAAUUAUGUUUUUAUGUUUCAUUUUGAGCUGCUUCCAAGUCCUUUUUUCUCCCGUUGGAUUGCACCUAAAUGAAAAUCAGAUUUCAUUCCUACUUAUAUUCAUAACUAUAGACUAUGCUUCGAUCUUAUAUGUUACGUCAGUGGAAUAGUACAUUCAAACUUACGCAUUGACUCGCGCAGCAAAUUUCUCCCAUGCCGUCUCUCUCUCCUUCGCUGCUGCAGCCGUGUUGGAUUUGCGGCGAAAAAUGUUCUCAUACUCGCCGUAGGCCAGCAUAAGGACCUCCAACUCCACCGGGGUGAAAUAAAUUGACCGUUUUUGCUCUGUUGUCAUGGUGACUCGUGGUAUCGGGGCUCCAUUGAUGAUGGCUUUUUAUACUGGUUGUGCACGCGCGUAACUCCAGGUUAUCAUACUCGGAGUUGAUUGAACUAAUUCAGAUCAGCUUUUCUGGAACCGGAUACUCAGAGUCUCCCAUCUCAGAGUAAGUCAACUCAGAGUUCAGGGAUAGACUCAGAGUAUGUUGAACCUGCUUUCUGGAAUACCCCCCAGGGGUCCGUUUCAUGUAGCAGGUUUAAUGGAAACUCCGAGUUUGUUAACCCUGAAAUCAGGGAAACUCUGAGUUUUCCGUUUCACAAAGGAGGGUUAGUUAAACCAGGGAGAGAGGGGUAACUCUAACCUGUUUCACAAAGAGAGGUAACUCAACCUCGCGGUCAGUUACCACAGUAACAGACUCCGUGAACCUAACCUGCUCGGGAGCAGGUUUAACUCAGUAAACCCAGAGUUUCAGGUGAGACAUCGGCAUCGGCAGGUGAGACAUCGGCCUCCCCCGUUCGACGAUCCGAUCGCAAAUCCCCCCCCCCCCACAGACACACACACACACACACACACACACACACACACACACGCACACCAGUCCGACGAUCGCUGCUACGGGGUGGGGGUUGCGAUCGUCGAAGGGGUGGGGGGGCAGCUCCUCUGCCUCCGUUAAAGGUGUGGCUGCUGGGCCACCACCCGUUUUUCUGGCAUCUGCCCUCUUUCUGUUUGCUGAGUGAAAGUCUAAUAUUGAGUGUAGUGUGUGUUAGUUUAAUAUAUGUACAUAUACAUACUGAGAGUUAGUUUAAUAUUCCUAAUCAUUUAACGGAACAUCAUAAGAGAGUAAAAUUCAUU